Molecule: small RNA, 86 nt
Filed under: Aristaeella lactis
Lineage: Bacteria; Bacillati; Bacillota; Clostridia; Eubacteriales; Aristaeellaceae
Description: Gut-1 RNA
Rfam family: Gut-1 RNA
Source: RNAcentral
AAGUGAAAUAUUGAGCAGCAUAGCUGCUCAAUGUGAAAUACGCCUUCGGCGUGUGAAAUAUCUGCUUCGCAGAUAUGAAAUAUAGG